Bombyx mori (domestic silkworm) is the source of this 1541-nucleotide long non-coding RNA. RefSeq lists it as uncharacterized. NCBI's taxonomy places the organism in Eukaryota, Metazoa, Arthropoda, Insecta, Lepidoptera, Bombycidae. The transcript has 2 exons. The record is from RefSeq and is a predicted model, not a curated record.
UCGUUAACUAUUGUAUCACUAAUAUAAUUUUAUAAUAUUUUAAUAGAACAUCAAAGUAUUCUUUGAUGGUUUUUGUUUUAAUACAAUGAAUCUAUACUUAAUAUUAUAAAGCUGAAGAGUUUGUUUGUUUGAAAGCGCGACAUCACGCUAACACUAAAUACAUAAUACAAGCGGAGCACCAACAAAUAAUGUUUGAAAAUCGGGGUUUUUUUUCCCUUUUCAGCUUCCGCUACGUGCGCUGCAGAAACGGUUAAAGUUUCGCUAAAAUAAUCUAUGACAGAAUUGUUCCCCUUUCAAAGAUCUAAAAAAAGUCCGCGAUAGCAUAAUAUGUCUAUAUGUUAAGGAACCUGGAUUGAACUAAUUUUGAUUUCCUUGCCGGGCCUUGUUAUGGUGGUUUAUUGCAACUGCAGCAAGCGUGAAGAUUAGAAAGAAUUCCCUCUGAACUACUGAGCGACUGGGAAGGCGAUAAACUGCGGGACAACACAGACUAGAUUUUUGUAAAGUAAUCUGAUAUCUCAUUUACAUUAAAACGCCGAUUUUUUCACACGCAUUUCAGUAGUGAUACCUUUAGGUACUGCCGUAGUAAAGUCUAAAUUACCAGUUGACAUUUGGCUUUGUAAUUCGACUAUGCGCGAUGGAGAACGUUAAAAUUCUUGCAGAAUUCUAAGCCGCCUUUGAAGUUUUUUUUUAAUUAUGCGUAUAGGUAUUUUUUUAUGUUUCGAUCACUAGUAUCAUAUCGAGUGGCUGUAUGGUUGUCUAUGUAGAACAAUAUAGACAACGCAUUCGAUUAUUUUUUUUAUUGCUAAGAUUGGUGGAAGAGCUCACACGGCCACCUAGUCAUCGAAGCCCAUAUACAUAAACAAUGUAACGGUUUUUCUGCCUAGCUAUUGCUUGAAACCUCGAGGGGUUAUUCUAGCUUCAUUGAGGUUCAGCCUGGCGACUUUACUAACACUAGCCCUUGCAAGAGUAGUGGUUCGCUGAAUCUACCACCGGGUCGAAAUCGCAACUGAGAAGAUCAGGCGAGAAGCUCGUGGGCUGUGUCUGUGAGUUAAUUUUCACGAAGAACCCUUCGUCGCAUUCAACGGGUUCGACAAGAACGGUGAUCGGCACUUCGAAUGCUUAAAAGCACCGAUAGCGGAUCGGGAGGAUACGAGUUUUGGGCGACGGUGACUGCUUACCAUUUGGUAGAAUGGAUGCCCCACUCUCCAAGCCGAAUCGUGUUUCACGGCAGAAAUAGGCAGGACGGUAUCUACACGUGCGGGCUCACAAGACGUCCUACCAAAUGUAGAUGAAUCAUUAUGUAGACGUUGUGUAAUAUAACCAAGUGAGACUUCCGUCCUCCAAGGGGCGCCACCUUACCAUGUCCCGUUGAGUGAGUAUAAUUGCUGGUCACUACGUAUUAAAAAGAAUAGGAUAUAAUAAUAUAAAGGGUUCAUACACGAAGUAAUCAAAUAUAAAAUAGAAAACUUGCUUGCGUAUAUUUUGAUUAUGUAUUUCUUUUUCUUUUUUUUUACAAAAUAAAAACAAACAUUUUUCACGAA